ACCCUUCUCAGUGCUAAAUAAUCUGUUUACGGUUGACACAUCAUCGCAUCAGACAACAGCUGGCGAUACAUAUGCAGAUGUAUCAUGAUUUGAUAUCGCCUAAAUUCAACGGAAAUAUCGAAGAAAAGCAACUAAAAGCAGGGAGAAAAACCGCACACGUAGGAAACUCUCUCGCGUUCUAGUGACUGGUCUCUCUGUUUCUGUUUUUUGUCUCUGUGUUUCAGUCGUAUAGUUUUCAUAGAGAUGGGUAAAAAUGAUGUAGGGAAAGACGAUUCUCCAAUUCUGAAUGAAACUGAGUUAAGGGAAGACAGAUCUUCGCGUGUUCCCGACAGGAGGUUGGAAGCAGGAAAGGCUGCAAGAAGAGGUUUGAAAAUCACGGAAUUGCCACGGAUGAAACUGUUACUACUGGGGAUCCUUUGUGUAGGUAACUUACUGGUGGAAACCUGGAUCGCCGUAAUGGGACCGUUCUUCCCUCAAGUGGCCGCCAAGAAGGACGUAUCGUACACGGUUAUCGGAGUGAUAUUUGCCUGUUUCCAGUUUACUAUCUUCGUUUCGUCCCCAGUCUUUGGAUCUGUGGUCUCCAAAGUCGGUGCCAAAUUCAUGUUAGUUUCUGGCCUCUUGGUAUCAGGAUCAUGUUCUGUUCUGUUUGGUUUUCUGGAAGGUUGUCAGUCUACAAACACGUUCAUAGCGUUGUCUCUCGUCACACGGUCUGUAGAGGCGUUAGGGAGUGCGGCCUUCCUUACAUCGAGUCGAGCGAUCGCCAGCGACACGUUUCCUGAUAACGUUGCUAUGAUAUAUGGUGUUAUGAACGUUUUCACCGGUAUUGGUUUAAUGGCGGGCUUCCCGUUAGGUGGUGUGUUAUACGAGGUUGGAGGCUUCGGGUUGCCGUUUUGGAGCUUUGGUACCGCUAUAUUGCUUUGCGCUGUUAUAUCCUUCAUAUUGAUACCAUCGGCAGGGUGUACUUUCAAAUCGACCUCUAAUCGAAUAUUCUGGAUCUUUCGUUGGUCUCUUUAAAAGUGCAGAUAUCUGCAUCGCCAGCUGGUGUCUGCUGUGUUUUACCAUGAGGCUGUCUGUCACCGAUACUACAUACAGUAUCUACCUUGAACAGACAUUUGGGUUAUCUCCCAUGUGGACUGGUUUGUUUUAUCUUGCACCUGUAUCUGCAUAUACCAUAAUAUCUCCGGUAUUUGGCUGGAUAGUGGACAAAAAGGUAGUUUCAAAGAUUC
This 1226-nucleotide unclassified non-coding RNA is filed under the name Gigantopelta aegis. Its description in RNAcentral is "mFS-type transporter SLC18B1-like, transcript variant X1". The record is from RNAcentral. Lineage: Eukaryota; Metazoa; Mollusca; Gastropoda; Neomphalida; Peltospiridae.